UAAUACUAGGGGGGCAAGCGUUGUCCGGAUUCAUUGGGCGUAAAGAGUUCGUAGGCGGUCUGAACAGUCAAAAUUGAAAUACCACGGCUUAACCGUGGAACCGGUUUUGAUACUUUCAGACUUGAGUUAGGUAGGGGUAAGCGGAAUUCCUGGUGUAGCGGUGAAAUGCGUAGAUAUCAGGAGGAACACCAAAGGCGAAGGCAGCUUACUGGGCCUUAACUGACGCUAAGGAACGAAAGCGUGGGGAGCAAACAGGAUUAGAGACCCUGGUAGUCCACGCCGUAAACGAUGAGCACUUGAUGGUGGGGGAUUUCGACCCCUUCACUGUCGUAGCUAACGCGUUAAGUGCUCCGCCUGGGGACUACGACCGCAAGGUUG
This 378-nucleotide ribosomal RNA is filed under the name uncultured Deferribacteres bacterium. RNAcentral describes it as "bacterial SSU rRNA". It matches the Rfam family "Bacterial small subunit ribosomal RNA", at positions 521 to 896 of the family's 1533-position model. The record is from RNAcentral. Lineage: Bacteria; Pseudomonadati; Deferribacterota; Deferribacteres.